UCCAAAUGGCUCCCAGCAAUAUUUGCCUCC
Molecule: non-coding RNA, 30 nt
Filed under: Homo sapiens (human)
Lineage: Eukaryota; Metazoa; Chordata; Mammalia; Primates; Hominidae
Source: RNAcentral